This 684-nucleotide long non-coding RNA is filed under the name Nicotiana benthamiana. RNAcentral's name for it is "long non-coding RNA (NBEN_LNC033110)". The record is from RNAcentral. Lineage: Eukaryota; Viridiplantae; Streptophyta; Magnoliopsida; Solanales; Solanaceae.
CUCGACCGGUUCCUGGUGUCACUGUUCCUUUCAUAUUGUCCCCUAGCCAAGCCGGGUACAGAGGUUCGCACCCUGAAUGAUAUCUAUCCGGCUCAAUGGUAUUCUUCUCCAUGAUGAUUUUGCAUGCCACAUGUGUUGAGCUUGGCACUUGUAAGGGACCUCAUUAUCUUGAAAGUCUGCCCUGAAGUGACUUAUCUUAAAGACCCUUGGUACAACCUGCUUUCUACCCGCUUGCCUCAUAACUCGCAGGGGCAUAUGGAUAUAUUACUCUCAACCCAAUCAGCACCAAAUGCAGAGCAUCCUUGGACCUGACAAUGAACUCGUCUAUUGGAAACCACUCAACCAUCCACUAUUCUUGUCCCUUGGUCAAAUUGUUAAAGAACUCUACCCAUUCACUGGCACUUUUCGGCUGAGCAAAUUUAUCCGAAAUGCAGGUCAUUUCUUAGGGUGAUGGAAAGCAAUGUGGUCGUUCCAAGCCCUUCGUGAAAAUUCUUGGCAAUAGCGAGCCUUUUGGAGAUGCUCCAACAACCAUACUUGUAGCAAUAAAUUACAACCUUCGGAAUGCCUGACCCAUCUUUGACAGUGUUCCAGGGCCAUGUAGAUAUCAGCUAUGAUCAUGGGGACUAUGGUAUAGGUUUGUCCAUUAAUCCCCUCCAUGAAAGUUCUGGCGACCAUGGCCAACCU